RNAcentral lists this ribosomal RNA (649 nucleotides) under Carinigera chelidromia chelidromia. RNAcentral describes it as "Isabellaria chelidromia chelidromia partial 12S ribosomal RNA". The record is from RNAcentral. Lineage: Eukaryota; Metazoa; Mollusca; Gastropoda; Stylommatophora; Clausiliidae.
ACCACUUUAAUAUGAUGGUAUAAGUAGACAUUAUGUAUAUUUAAAUAUGGAAUUUCUUUUGAUAUUUCCAGUUUAAAGUUUUAAACAAUUUAUGAAAAUAAAAUUUAGAUAAUUUAUUAAUUUAGGUUUAUUAGGUGCCAGCAACCGCGGUCAUACCUAAUAUAUUAGUUUACUAAAAUAGUAAUUUCUAACCUCAUUUCGAAAUAUUAUAUUAAGUAGUGAAAUACUAUUAUAUCCACUAUACUCACAAAAUGAAUAAUAAUAAAAUCCAUAGAUAAAACUAGGAUUAGAGACCCUACUAUUAUGGGCUAAAAUAGUUAUUUACUAAGAAGUAAUACUUCAAUUUCAAACUUAAAUGUUAUGGCGGCUAACUAAAACAAUUAGGGGAACUUACCAUGUAAUUGAUAGCCACCAAGCUUAAUCCAACUUACUAUAAUAAUAUGUAUACCGUUGUCUUCAUGAACCCCCCAAAGGGGUCUAUAAUCAUAGCCUAUUUAAUGACAAAUCAAGGUGCAGUCUAUUAGUAAGCAUUAAGGUGAGUUACAAUAAACUUUAUUUCCGGAAUGAAACAUGAAAUAUUUCAGGAAGAUGGACUUAAAAGUACUUUAAAAAAAUAUUUAUAUUAAAAGAAUAUGUAUUGGUUAGUGUA